RNAcentral lists this unclassified non-coding RNA (275 nucleotides) under uncultured fungus. RNAcentral describes it as "sequence contains ITS2". The stretch from base 1 to 52 matches the Rfam family "5.8S ribosomal RNA", at positions 103 to 154 of the family's 154-position model. The record is from RNAcentral. Lineage: Eukaryota; Fungi.
AACGCACAUUGCGCCCGCCAGUAUUCUGGCGGGCAUGCCUGUUCGAGCGUCAUUUCAACCCUCAAGCUUCGCUUGGUGUUGGGGACCGGCAAUUUUUGACAGGGAGUUUCUUCUCUCUGGCAAAGCCGCCCCCGAAAUUUAGUGGCGGCCCUCCGAGGCGACCUCUGCGUAGUAACUUGUUCUCGCACUGGAAACAUUGGAGCGGCCACGCCGUAAAACCCCCGACUUUUAUCAAGGUUGACCUCGAAUCAGGUAGGACUACCCGCUGAACUUAA